UGAGAAAUUAGGAUAAGGGACGCCACCUGUACUACCCCAUGCCUCUUUCUUUGUUUCUCUGCAUAUACUGUCUUCACGGAGCGUAUUCUUGUCACCUUCAGUUCGGAACAAAACUGGGAUUUCUCCGGCGACUGGCGACGGGGACUGGCGGCGGCAACUAACGGCGGGGACUGGCGGCGGGGACUGGCGGCGGCCAUUGGCUCGGGUGAUUACGAGCCAGCCAAGAUGGAUCUCAUGGAGUCCAGCAAACCCUGGACGCAGGUACUAUUCGUGCGUCGGUAACCAGCAUGGAUUCAUCGAUUGGCAUGACGGGCCAACGACACCAUUUGUCGGUGAUUUGUUGGGUGAUCUUCGUGACAAAGUGUGGAUGCUUGAGACUGCUGUUGCUAGUCAGUCCAUUGACAGAGAAGUUGGUGCGUUGAGAGAGGAAUUGGAGAAGAACACUGAAGUUAUUUCAGAAAUUAGCGCUAGGUGUGACAGGAAAGAUGUGAUUCAGAUAUAUGAAUGUGCAGUGUAUGGUUUGAUGAUCUUUGUAGCUGGUUUAGUCGCAAGCUUCAUGCUAUCUUAGUUUCUGGAGAUGUAUAAUGUGGUGCUGUCUUAAUUGCAAUGUAUUGUAUGUGACUCAUAUUCGAAUGAAUUUGGAAAACCCAAAUUUGAUGUGUA
This is a long non-coding RNA of Triticum aestivum (bread wheat), 663 nucleotides long. RefSeq lists it as uncharacterized. The record is from RefSeq and is a predicted model, not a curated record. The transcript is spliced from 2 exons. Lineage: Eukaryota; Viridiplantae; Streptophyta; Magnoliopsida; Poales; Poaceae.